Molecule: RNA transcript, 2134 nt
Organism: Scophthalmus maximus (turbot)
Lineage: Eukaryota; Metazoa; Chordata; Actinopteri; Pleuronectiformes; Scophthalmidae
Gene name: stress-induced-phosphoprotein 1-like
Exons: 16
Source: RefSeq, a predicted model, not a curated record
UUAUUGUGGCAAAGCGGCUGCCGGAAGUGCAGUGUGUCGUGCCGGCGGUCAGCUCCGCGGCGGGCGGGCGGCGGCGCCGUGGGCCAGGCGGCGGCGCGCGUCACUCCACACGGACCAGGCAGCUCCGCCGGGGCGGCCGCGCUGUCAGCGUCAAAUGAAGCCCGAGGAAAGUGUCGUCCCGUCAUGCUCCGACCCGAUGAAGUCCACCAGAGACAUCUGCCGGCUGCUGGGCUUCGGAGGCAGUGACAAGGAGCUGGAGGCUCAGGAUGGUGCUUCGGACCCAGCAGACAGAAGAAAAGGCGUCGACUCAUCUGGGGCCACGGUGAACAACGAGGAGGGUCUGGAUGACGAGGAAAGAGCAAGGAGGAGAGCAGAGAGGAGGAGAGCGAAAAGGAAAAGGCAGAAGGAACGAAGGAAACUGGAGAGAGAGGAGAAUAUGGAGGAGGCUAUAGAGCAGAAAGAAGAAGAAGAAGAAGUGGCUGGAGUGGAGUCGGAGAGCGACAGCGCGGAGGAAUAUAAAGAGGUGGAGCGACGGAACAGAAACAACCGCCAGUUGCCCCGCAGGACGACGUCGGAGGAGGAGCCCGAGUGGGACGUACGCAGUGCUUUUGUGGCCAACGCCGCCAGUCACAUCAAACUCAAAGGCCUGAAGAGCAGAGCUCCCCUGAUCACCAGAGAGGAGAAGGAGAACAACGGCCAGAGCAGCCAGGGGGAGAACAUAGAAGAGAUGAAGAGGAGGGGGGAGGCUCUGACAGAAGAGGGCAUUGAGAUGUUCGGACAAGGCCAGUACAGCGAGGCGGUGGACAUGUUCACAGAAGCCAUCCACUGUGACCCCAAGGACCACAGGUUCUAUGGAAACCGGUCUUACUGUUACUGGUGCCUGGAGCAGUUCUCCUCCGCCCUCAGAGACGCCCAGAGGUCCAUCGAGCUGGCGCCCGAUUGGCCGAAGGGACACUUCCGCAAGGGUUGCGCUCUGAUGGGGUUAAAGCGGUACAGCGAGGCAGAGAAGUCCAUGGAGCAGGUGUUGAACUUGGAUCAGCACAUCAAGGAAGCGUCCAGUAGACUCGUUACCUGCCGGAUCCUGCAGCUCACGGAGUUGGGUUUUGAGGAAGAGCAGAGUAAACUGCUGCUGGAGAAGUUCCACACGGUUCAGGGAGUCCUCACCUCCGCCGGGGUCAAAGGUAAAGGAGGGCAGCACGGAAGCAAACAUCUCCGCAGGACCAGAGUGGGAGCUGUCGCUCCCUGUGGGUCGGGAACAUUACGUUGGAAGUUACAGAGAAAGACCUCUGGGAUCUCUUCACGAUGUAAAAACAAAAGGGUCUGUGUUUCCACGGUAACAGGUUCGGUGAGAUCGAGAGCAUCAGAGUUCUCCACGAGCGCUUCUGUGCCUUCGUCAACUUUAAGAACGCCAACGUGGCCGCCAGAGCCCUGGAAAAGCUACAGGGGGUGGAGCUGGCGAGCACCAAGCUGGUGAUGCGGUACCCGGACCGCUGGAUCCAGCAAAGGACCAACACGGGCCUCUGCCUCGGCACUGCGGCAACACAGCAGAGCUCAGCCUCCACAGGGUCGAGACGGAGUGCGCCUGCGAAUGGCGACGGGUGCGUCCACGGCGACGAGUGCCGCUUCAGACACGUGCCGGACCGGCAAGGGCGAGGCAAGAAACCGUGGCAACCCUAAGGAUGUCGCCAACCCCCUGCACCAGAGGCACAUUAACGAAGGGAACAGCAAAUGACGAGAGGAUGAUCUGUCCGUCGAGUCCGAGUGUGAGGAGUCGAGGUGCGUGUGACCGUCAUUUCACAGGGUCCCAGAACCCGACCUCAUACAGACCCGUCAAGUACGGAGGUCUUGAAAGGAAUGUGAUUUAUUGGAAGCGUCAAACUCCCUGGAAACCCCCCCCCCCCCCCAAUGAACUCCUGGUUCCUGCUCUGAGGGAAGAAUUCCAAACGUGUUAUCUGGAUCUACUGGGACACAUAUUUAUGGUUGAACCGUUUUGGAAACCCCCCCCCAAGACCAGCUCUCUGACAAACUUUUGUCUCCAUAACACCACACCGCUGAAGUUACUUUCUUGCUCCUUCUUCUUCUUCUUUUGAAUUGUUUUUUGAACUUUUGCAAUAAAUCAAUAUACAUUCAUGUA